UCCGGUUUGUCACCGGCAGUCCCAUUAGAGUGCUCAACUGAAUGUAGCAACUAAAGAUAAGGGUUGCGCUCGUUGCGGGACUUAACCCAACAUCUCACGACACGAGCUGACGACAGCCAUGCAGCACCUUGCACUCUGCCUAAGUUUCCCUAAGAGGCUCCAUCUCUGGAGUUGUCAGAGGCAUUCUAGCCCAGGUAAGGUUCUUCGCGUUGCGUCGAAUUGAACCACAUGCUCCACCGCUUGUGCGGGCCCCCGCCUAUUCCUUUGAGUUUUAGCCUUGCGGCCGUACUCCCCAGGCGGGGCACUUAAUGCGUUAGCUACGGCACAGAAUGCAUUGGUAACAUCCCACACCUAGUGCCCAACGUUUACCGCGUGGACUAC
RNAcentral lists this unclassified non-coding RNA (381 nucleotides) under uncultured bacterium. RNAcentral describes it as "contains 16S-23S intergenic spacer region". The record is from RNAcentral.